This 693-nucleotide ribosomal RNA is filed under the name uncultured Fibrobacter sp. RNAcentral describes it as "bacterial SSU rRNA". It matches the Rfam family "Bacterial small subunit ribosomal RNA", at positions 163 to 860 of the family's 1533-position model. The record is from RNAcentral. Lineage: Bacteria; Pseudomonadati; Fibrobacterota; Fibrobacteria; Fibrobacterales; Fibrobacteraceae.
UUAAUGUCCAGGAGAGUGGCCCUCCGCAUGGAGGGUNGACUAGAGAUUUAUCGGUAUGGGAUGAGCUUGCGUCCGAUUAGCUAGUUGGCGGGGCAACGGCCCACCAAGGCGACGAUCGGUAGCCGGCCUGAGAGGGUGAUCGGCCACAUUGGGACUGAGAUACGGCCCAGACUCCUACGGGAGGCAGCAGUAGGGAAUAUUGCACAAUGAGGGAAACCCUGAUGCAGCAACGCCACGUGUGGGAAGAAGCAUUUCGGUGUGUAAACCACUGUCAUGAGGGGAUAAGGCCCGCCUCCGGGCGGGAUUGAAUGUACCUUGAGAGGAAGCACCGGCAAACUUCGUGCCAGCAGCCGCGGUAAUACGAGGGGUGCAAGCGUUGUUCGGAAUUACUGGGCGUAAAGGGAGCGUANGCGGAGAUUCAAGCGGAUCGUACAAUCCCGGGGCCCAACCCCGGCUCUGCAGUCCGAACUGGAUCUCUUGGAUAGUUCANGGGCAGGCGGAAUUCCUGGUGUAGCGGUGGAAUGCGUAGAGAUCAGGAAGAACACCGAUGGCGAANGCAGCCUGCUGGGGACUUAUCGACUCUGANGCUCGAAAGUGCGGGUAGCAAACAGGAUUAGAUACCCUGGUAGUCCGCACCGUAAACAAUGCAUACUGGGUGUCCGGGGGUUCCCCCGGGUACCGNANCCAACGCGU